Molecule: transfer-messenger RNA, 397 nt
Filed under: Mycobacterium phage Phabba
Lineage: Duplodnaviria; Heunggongvirae; Uroviricota; Caudoviricetes
Rfam family: transfer-messenger RNA
About the family: Bacterial tmRNA, also known as 10Sa RNA or SsrA, is named for its dual tRNA and mRNA-like properties.
Source: RNAcentral
GGGGCUGACAGGCUUCGACUGGCCGAUUGAAAACUGAACAGCGGGCAAGUGUUGGGCACACUUCUACUUUGAGUGAACGUGCCAACCCAUAAGCGCCAAUGACAAUGACGCAACGGUCACUGAGGCCGACUUCGCCGAGAUCGAGGCUUUCGCCAACGACUCGGUGCUGGUCUAACCAGUAACCAGCCACCCGGUUAGCCAGCUGCCGCGCAGCGCCGGGGGUUUCAAAGAUAGCGGGAGCACAGAGGGUCACUGAUCAACGUCCUUGAACACCGUGGAUCACAGGAAGGCCGCAUCCCGUCCUCGGGGUCGCAGCUGGGUAUUCAAACGAGGACUACGCCCGUAGAACGCAGAAGGAUAGACGCUAGGACGGGGGUUCGAUUCCCCCCAGCUCCAC